Molecule: ribosomal RNA, 317 nt
Filed under: uncultured eukaryote
Lineage: Eukaryota
Description: partial 18S ribosomal RNA
Rfam family: Eukaryotic small subunit ribosomal RNA
Source: RNAcentral
CCCUUAGAUGUCCGGGGCCGCACGCGCGCUACACUGAAGGAAUCAGCGUGGCUCUGUCCCUGGUCCGAAAGGAUUGGGAAACCCGUUGAAUCUCCUUCGUGAUAGGGAUUGGGGCUUGGAACUGUUCCCCAUGAACGAGGAAUUCCCAGUAAGCGCGAGUCAUAAGCUCGCGUUGAUUACGUCCCUGCCCUUUGUACACACCGCCCGUCGCUACUACCGAUUGAAUGGUCCGGUGAAGCCUCCGGAUUGGCGCGCACCUCGGUGCCGCCGAGAAGUUGGCUAAACCUUACCAUUUAGAGGAAGGUGAAGUCGUANCA